This is a long non-coding RNA of Diceros bicornis minor, 151 nucleotides long. RefSeq lists it as uncharacterized. NCBI's taxonomy places the organism in Eukaryota, Metazoa, Chordata, Mammalia, Perissodactyla, Rhinocerotidae. The record is from RefSeq and is a predicted model, not a curated record. The transcript is spliced from 3 exons.
GACAGCAUUCCUGUGGACGUUCACCCUCAUGGGCGGGGCUCGACACGAAAAGCAUCCGUGGAGAUCAAGUUUGAGGUGAAAACAGUCUCAGGGUCCACCUGUCCUCGCUGAUCCGUGGAUUUCUGUGUGACCAGGUUACACCUAUGGAGCC